GAUAUCUCUCCGGGAACUGAGAUAAUCCUAUAGUACCGAUGCYGGAAUGCCGWUCCCAAGCUCCGCGCCUAGAUGAUCUGSGCCGAUAGUCGUKGUGGGUACGGCCUACAAGCGAUAAUCGGUACGGGUGUGGGAGGCAGRGCCCGGRGUUGGAUYUGAGRCMCGAAUCCAGGCCCUACGGGCGCAGCAGGCGSSGAAACUUACAAUGCGGGCAACCGUGAUAAGGGAACCUCGAGUGCCUGUACAUGCAGGCUGUCUGGGUGUCUAAAACACACCCAAAGAAAGGGCCGGGCAAGACCGGUGCCAGCCGCCGCGGUAAUACCGGCGGCUCGAGUGGUGGCCACUUUUAUUGGGCUUAAAGCGUUCGUAGCUGGGUUGUUACGUCUCUUGGGAAAUCUGGCAGCUUAACUGUCAGGCGUCUAAGAGAUACUGGCAAUCUAGGAACCGGGAGAGGWRARRRGUACUUCGGGGGUAGGAGUGAAAWMAAUGUAAUCCWMGAGGGACCACCUGUGGCGAAGGCGCCUCACCAGAACGGCUUCGACAGUGAGGGACGAAAGCUGGGGGAGCAAACCGGAUUAGAUACCCGGGUAGUCCCAGCCGUAAACGAUGCGCGCUAGGUGUGUCGAUGACCACGAGUCAUCGAGGUGCCGAAGGGAAACCGUGAAACGCGCCGCCUGGGAAGUACGGUCGCAAGGCUGAAACUUAAAGGAAUUGGCGGGGGAG
RNAcentral lists this ribosomal RNA (723 nucleotides) under uncultured Methanomicrobiaceae archaeon. RNAcentral's name for it is "partial 16S ribosomal RNA". It matches the Rfam family "Archaeal small subunit ribosomal RNA", at positions 123 to 876 of the family's 1478-position model. Lineage: Archaea; Methanobacteriati; Methanobacteriota; Methanomicrobia; Methanomicrobiales; Methanomicrobiaceae. The record is from RNAcentral.